This 468-nucleotide ribosomal RNA is filed under the name uncultured bacterium. RNAcentral's name for it is "partial 16S ribosomal RNA". It matches the Rfam family "Bacterial small subunit ribosomal RNA", at positions 28 to 507 of the family's 1533-position model. The record is from RNAcentral.
GACGAACGCUGGCGGCGUGCUUAACACAUGCAAGUCGAACGGAAAGGCCCUGCUUUUGUGGGGUGCUCGAGUGGCGAACGGGUGAGUAACACGUGAGUAACCUGCCCUUGACUUUGUGAUAACUUCAGGAAACUGGGGCUAAUACCGGAUAGGAGCUCCUGCUGCAUGGUGGGGGUUGGAAAGUUUCGGCGGUUGGGGAUGGACUCGCGGCUUAUCAGCUUGUUGGUGGGGUAGUGGCUUACCAAGGCUUUGACGGGUAGCCGGCCUGAGAGGGUGACCGGCCACAUUGGGACUGAGAUACGGACCAGACUCCUACGGGAGGCAGCAGUGGGGAAUAUUGCACAAUGGGCGGAAGCCUGAUGCAGCAACGCCGCGUGCGGGAUGACGGCCUUCGGGUUGUAAACCGCUUUCGCCUGUGACGAAGAGUGAGUGACGGUAAUGGGUAAAGAAGCACCGGCUAACUACGUG